Long non-coding RNA from Sphaerodactylus townsendi, 147 nucleotides. RefSeq lists it as uncharacterized. The transcript is spliced from 3 exons. NCBI's taxonomy places the organism in Eukaryota, Metazoa, Chordata, Lepidosauria, Squamata, Sphaerodactylidae. The record is from RefSeq and is a predicted model, not a curated record.
GUGUUGGAGUGCACAAGCUAAUCUGGUUCACCAGAUAAGCCUCCACAGCUCAAGUGGCAGAGCGGGGAAAUCAAACCCGGUUCUCCAGAUUAGAGUGCCACCUGCUCUAGCCACUGCACCACUCCUGCUCUCCUUACAGGAGAGAAA